This 497-nucleotide ribosomal RNA is filed under the name uncultured bacterium. Its description in RNAcentral is "partial 16S ribosomal RNA". It matches the Rfam family "Bacterial small subunit ribosomal RNA", at positions 28 to 507 of the family's 1533-position model. The record is from RNAcentral.
GAUGAACGCUGGCGGCGUGCCUAAUACAUGCAAGUCGAGCGAACAGACGAGGAGCUUGCUCCUCUGACGUUAGCGGCGGACGGGUGAGUAACACGUGGAUAACCUACCUAUAAGACUGGGAUAACUUCGGGAAACCGGAGCUAAUACCGGAUAAUAUAUUGAACCGCAUGGUUCAAAAGUGAAAGACGGUUUUGCUGUCACUUAUAGAUGGAUCCGCGCCGCAUUAGCUAGUUGGUAAGGUAACGGCUUACCAAGGCAACGAUGCGUAGCCGACCUGAGAGGGUGAUCGGACACACUGGAACUGAGACACGGUCCAGACUCCUACGGGAGGCAGCAGUAGGGAAUCUUCCGCAAUGGGCGAAAGCCUGACGGAGCAAAGCCGCGUGAGUGAUGAAGGUCUUCGGAUCGUAAAACUCUGUUAUUAGGGAAGAACAAAUGUGUAAGUAACUAUGCACGUCUUGACGGUACCUAAUCAGAAAGCCACGGCUAACUACGUG